GUGGGGAAUAUUGGACAAUGGGGGGAACCCUGAUCCAGCCAUGCCGCGUGUGUGAAGAAGGCCUUUUGGUUGUAAAGCACUUUAAGCGAGGAGGAGGCUACCGAGAUUAAUACUCUUGGAUAGUGGACGUUACUCGCAGAAUAAGCACCGGCUAACUCUGUGCCAGCAGCCGCGGUAAUACAGAGGGUGCAAGCGUUAAUCGGAUUUACUGGGCGUAAAGCGCGCGAAGGUGGCCAAUUAAGUCAAAUGUGAAAUCCCCGAGCUUAACUUGGAGAUUGCAUUCGAUACUGGUUGGCUAGAGUAUGGGAGAGGAUGGUAGAAUUCCAGGUGUAGCGGUGAAAUGCGUAGAGAUCUGGAGGAAUACCGAUGGCGAAGGCAGCCAUCUGGCCUAAUACUGACACUGAGGUGCGAAAGCAUGAGGAGCAAACAGGAUUAGAAACCCUAGUAGUCC
Molecule: ribosomal RNA, 451 nt
Filed under: uncultured bacterium
Lineage: Bacteria
Description: partial 16S ribosomal RNA
Rfam family: Bacterial small subunit ribosomal RNA
Source: RNAcentral